UACGGAGGGGGCUAGCGUUAUUCGGAAUUACUGGGCGUAAAGCGCACGUAGGCGGACUGGAAAGUUGGGGGUGAAAGCCCAGGGUUCAACCCUGGAACUGCCUCCAAAACUCCCAGUCUUGAGGUCGAGAGAGGUGAGUGGAAUUCCGAGUGUAGAGGUGAAAUUCGUAGAUAUUCGGAAGAACACCAGUGGCGAAGGCGGCUCACUGGACAUGUAUUGACGCUGAGGUGCGAAAGCGUGGGGAGCAAACAGG
RNAcentral lists this ribosomal RNA (253 nucleotides) under uncultured bacterium. Its description in RNAcentral is "partial 16S ribosomal RNA". It matches the Rfam family "Bacterial small subunit ribosomal RNA", at positions 524 to 776 of the family's 1533-position model. The record is from RNAcentral.